This 202-nucleotide ribosomal RNA is filed under the name uncultured Desulfobulbus sp. Its description in RNAcentral is "partial 16S ribosomal RNA". It matches the Rfam family "Bacterial small subunit ribosomal RNA", at positions 1180 to 1382 of the family's 1533-position model. The record is from RNAcentral. Lineage: Bacteria; Pseudomonadati; Thermodesulfobacteriota; Desulfobulbia; Desulfobulbales; Desulfobulbaceae.
UGACGUCAAGUCCUCAUGGCCUUAUGACCAGGGCUACACACGUACUACAAUGGCCGAUACAAAGGGCAGCGACACUGCGAGGUGAAGCCAAUCCCGUAAAAUCGGUCUCAGUCCGGAUUGGAGUCUGCAACUCGACUCCAUGAAGUUGGAAUCGCUAGUAAUCGUGGAUCAGCAUGCCACGGUGAAUACGUUCCCGGGCCUU